AGAGUUUGAUCAUGGCUCAGAGCGAACGCUGGCGGCAGGCUUAACACAUGCAAGUCGAGCGGGCGUAGCAAUACGUCAGCGGCAGACGGGUGAGUAACGCGUGGGAACGUACCUUUUGGUUCGGAACAACACAGGGAAACUUGUGCUAAUACCGGAUAAGCCCUUACGGGGAAAGAUUUAUCGCCGAUGGAGGGGCCCGCGUCCGAUUAGGUAGUUGGUGAGGUAACGGCUCACCAAGCCUACGAUCGGUAGCUGGUCUGAGAGGAUGAUCAGCCACACUGGGACUGAGAUACGGCCCAGACUCCUACGGGAGGCAGCAGUGGGGAAUAUUGGACAAUGGGGGCAACCCUGAUCCAGCAAUGCCGCGUGAGUGAUGAAGGCCUUAGGGUUGUAAAGCUCUUUUACCAGGGAAGAUGAUGACUGUACCUGGAGAAUAAGCCCCGGCUAACUUCGUGCCAGCAGCCGCGGUAAUACGAAGGGGGCGAGCGUUGUUCGGAAUUACUGGGCGUAAAGGGCGCGUAGGCGGCCGUUCAAGUUAGAUGUGAAAGUCCUGGGCUUAACCUGGGGACUGCAUUUGAUACUGGAUGGCUUGAAUUCGGGAGAGGAUAGCGGAAUUCCCAGUGUAGAGGUGAAAUUCGUAGAUAUUGGGAAGAACACCGGUGGCGAAGGCGGCUAUCUGGACCGACAUUGACGCUGAGGCGCGAAAGCGUGGGGAGCAAACAGGAUUAGAUACCCUAGUAGUCC
Molecule: ribosomal RNA, 744 nt
Filed under: uncultured bacterium
Lineage: Bacteria
Description: bacterial SSU rRNA
Rfam family: Bacterial small subunit ribosomal RNA
Source: RNAcentral